UAAUUUAGUGGUCAAAGCAUUGGCGCGUAAAGCCAAAAAGCCCGGGUUCGAUUCCCGG
RNAcentral lists this transfer RNA (58 nucleotides) under Agrilus planipennis (emerald ash borer). It matches the Rfam family "tRNA", at positions 8 to 63 of the family's 71-position model. Rfam says of the family: Transfer RNA (tRNA) molecules are approximately 80 nucleotides in length. Lineage: Eukaryota; Metazoa; Arthropoda; Insecta; Coleoptera; Buprestidae. The record is from Rfam by way of RNAcentral.